UACGAAGGGGGCUAGCGUUGCUCGGAAUCACUGGGCGUAAAGCGCACGUAGGCGGACUCUUAAGUCGGUGGUGAAAUCCUGGAGCUCAACUCCAGAACUGCCUUCGAUACUGAGAGUCUCGAGUCCGGGAGAGGUGAGUGGAACUGCGAGUGUAGAGGUGGAAUUCGUAGAUAUUAGGAAGAACACCAGUGGCGAAGGCGACUCACUGGUCCGGUACUGACGCUGAGGUGCGAAAGCGUGGGGAGCAAACAGG
This 253-nucleotide ribosomal RNA is filed under the name uncultured bacterium. Its description in RNAcentral is "partial 16S ribosomal RNA". It matches the Rfam family "Bacterial small subunit ribosomal RNA", at positions 524 to 776 of the family's 1533-position model. The record is from RNAcentral.